RNAcentral lists this ribosomal RNA (256 nucleotides) under uncultured bacterium. Its description in RNAcentral is "partial 16S ribosomal RNA". It matches the Rfam family "Bacterial small subunit ribosomal RNA", at positions 524 to 776 of the family's 1533-position model. The record is from RNAcentral.
UACGGAGGGUGCGAGCGUUGUCCGGAAUCAUUGGGCGUAAAGGGCGCGUAGGUGGCCCGGUCAGUCUUUGGUGAAAGCGCGGGGCUCAACCCUGCGUCGGCCAGGGAUACUGCCGCGGCUGGAGCACUGUAGAGGCAGGCGGAAUUCCGGGUGUAGCGGUGGAAUGCGUAGAGAUCCGGAAGAACACCGGUGGCGAAGGCGGACUGCUGGGCAGUUUUGCUGACACUGAGGCGCGACAGCGUGGGGAGCAAACAGG